RNAcentral lists this ribosomal RNA (878 nucleotides) under uncultured bacterium. Its description in RNAcentral is "bacterial SSU rRNA". It matches the Rfam family "Bacterial small subunit ribosomal RNA", at positions 511 to 1397 of the family's 1533-position model. The record is from RNAcentral.
GCAGCCGCGGUAAUACGGAGGGUCCGAGCGUUAUCCGGAAUCAUUGGGUUUAAAGGGUCCGCAGGCGGUCUAUUAAGUCAGAGGUGAAAUCCCAUAGCUCAACUAUGGAACUGCCUUUGAUACUGGUUGACUUGAGUCAUAUGGAAGUGGAUAGAAUGUGUAGUGUAGCGGUGAAAUGCAUAGAUAUUACACAGAAUACCGAUUGCGAAGGCAGUCUACUACGUAUGUACUGACGCUGAGGGACGAAAGCGUGGGGAGCGAACAGGAUUAGAUACCCUGGUAGUCCACGCCGUAAACGAUGGAUACUAGUUGUUGGGAUUUAUCUCAGUGACUAAGCGAAAGUGAUAAGUAUCCCACCUGGGGAGUACGGUCGCAAGACUGAAACUCAAAGGAAUUGACGGGGGCCCGCACAAGCGGUGGAGCAUGUGGUUUAAUUCGAUGAUACGCGAGGAACCUUACCAGGCUUAAAUGUAGUCUGACAGCUUUAGAGAUAGAGUUUCUUCGGACAGAUUACAAGGUGCUGCAUGGUUGUCGUCAGCUCGUGCCGUGAGGUGUCAGGUUAAGUCCUAUAACGAGCGCAACCCCUGUUAUUAGUUGCCAGCAUGUAAAGAUGGGGACUCUAAUAAGACUGCCAGCGCAAGCUGCGAGGAAGGUGGGGAUGACGUCAAAUCAUCGCGGCCCUUACGUGCCUGGGCCACACACGUGCUACCCUGGUAUGGACAAUGAGCAGCCAUCUGGCAACAGAGAGCGAAUCUAUAAACCAUAUCACAGUUCGGAUCGGAGUCUGCAACUCGACGCCGUGAAGCUGGAAUCGCUAGUAAUAGGAUAUCAGCCAUUAUCCGGUGAAUACGUUCCCGGGCCUUGUACACACCGCCCGU